GGGAUGCGCGUGCUAUACUGCAGUCGACGCUUCUUUUUCCCCGGAGCUUGCUCCACCGGAAAAAGAGGAGUGGCGAACGGGUGAGUAACACGUGGGUAACCUGCCCAUCAGAAGGGGAUAACACUUGGAAACAGGUGCUAAUACCGUAUAACAAUCAAAACCGCAUGGUUUUGAUUUGAAAGGCGCUUUCGGGUGUCGCUGAUGGAUGGACCCGCGGUGCAUUAGCUAGUUGGUGAGGUAACGGCUCACCAAGGCCACGAUGCAUAGCCGACCUGAGAGGGUGAUCGGCCACAUUGGGACUGAGACACGGCCCAAACUCCUACGGGAGGCAGCAGUAGGGAAUCUUCGGCAAUGGACGAAAGUCUGACCGAGCAACGCCGCGUGAGUGAAGAAGGUUUUCGGAUCGUAAAACUCUGUUGUUAGAGAAGAACAAGGAUGAGAGUAACUGUUCAUCCCUUGACGGUAUCUAACCAGAAAGCCACGGCUAACUACGUGCCAGCAGCCGCGGUAAUACGUAGGUGGCAAGCGUUGUCCGGAUUUAUUGGGCGUAAAGCGAGCGCAGGCGGUUUCUUAAGUCUGAUGUGAAAGCCCCCGGCUCAA
Molecule: ribosomal RNA, 600 nt
Filed under: Enterococcus faecium
Lineage: Bacteria; Bacillati; Bacillota; Bacilli; Lactobacillales; Enterococcaceae
Description: bacterial SSU rRNA
Rfam family: Bacterial small subunit ribosomal RNA
Source: RNAcentral